This 649-nucleotide unclassified non-coding RNA is filed under the name Hevea brasiliensis (rubber tree). Lineage: Eukaryota; Viridiplantae; Streptophyta; Magnoliopsida; Malpighiales; Euphorbiaceae. The record is from RNAcentral.
GCCAUAACAACAUAAGCUGAUCCAUAGUACCAAUUACGUCGAUUGGACCCGUCAUUCCAGGACUAUCUUGAUUAUUCAACCACAAAAUCCGAAGCAUUGAAUCACGAAAACUAUCUGGUAUCUCACCAGUCAAACGAUUAUACGACAGCUUCAACGCACUUAGAGAAGGCAAUUUCCCAAAAAAAUCAGGCACAGGUCCAACUAUAUUGCAUUGCACACAAGAAAAAUUCGUCAACUGAGCUGAAUCUUGCAACUGAAUCGGAAUAAACCAUCCACUCUCAUUAAACGGAUUAUAAUCCAAAGCCAAAACUUGAACACCGCUAAGACCAUCAAAGAAAUCAGCAGGAAUCGUAUCGAAUUGAUUGUUAUCCAAGUAUGCAUAUUUCAAAUCAGACAAUCCACUAAAAGUAGGUAAUUUCCCACUAAAACCAUUCCCCUGAAGUCCAAGAUUUUGAAGCUUAUCAAGUUGAUUAAAGUUGUGUGGUAAAGUACCCUUUAAACCCAAACUCUGAACCUGAAUUUGGGUAACUCUGUCACUAGAACAGAACACAUGAGGCCAUGCAGGAGGACCACAAGGAUCAUUCCCCUUAGAAGGCCAUUUCAAUAGUUCAGGAUUCUCUAAUCCAUUUCUGAAAUCACUCAAAAUCUU